GCACUGCUGAGGAGUCCUACAAUAGGACGAAACAGCCUGUCCAGUGU
Molecule: non-coding RNA, 47 nt
Organism: Schistosoma mattheei
Lineage: Eukaryota; Metazoa; Platyhelminthes; Trematoda; Strigeidida; Schistosomatidae
Source: Rfam